This 30-nucleotide non-coding RNA is filed under the name Macaca fascicularis (crab-eating macaque). Lineage: Eukaryota; Metazoa; Chordata; Mammalia; Primates; Cercopithecidae. The record is from RNAcentral. RNAcentral also lists the same sequence under 3 other names.
AAUCUGAGGGUCCAGGGUUCAAGUCCCUGU